GACGAACGCUGGCGGCGUGCUUAACACAUGCAAGUCGAACGGAAAGGCCCUGCUUUUGUGGGGUUCUCGAGUGGCGAACGGGUGAGUAACACGUGAGUAACCUGCCCUUGACUUUGGGAUAACUUCAGGAAACUGGGGCUAAUACCGGAUAGGAGCUCCUGCUGCAUGGUGGGGGUUGGAAAGUUUCGGCGGUUGGGGAUGGACUCGCGGCUUAUCAGCUUGUUGGUGGGGUAGUGGCUUACCAAGGCUUUGACGGGUCGCCGGCCUGAGAGGGUGACCGGCCACAUUGGGACUGAGAUACGGCCCAGACGCCUACGGGAGGCAGCAGUGGGGAAUAUUGCACAAUGGGCGGAAGCCUGAUGCAGCAACGCCGCGGGCGGGAUGACGGCCUUCGGGUUGUAAACCGCUUUCGCCUGUGACGAAGCGUGAGUGACGGUAAUGGGUAAAGAAGCACCGGCUAACUACGUG
This 468-nucleotide ribosomal RNA is filed under the name uncultured bacterium. RNAcentral describes it as "partial 16S ribosomal RNA". It matches the Rfam family "Bacterial small subunit ribosomal RNA", at positions 28 to 507 of the family's 1533-position model. The record is from RNAcentral.